This is a long non-coding RNA of Ctenocephalides felis (cat flea), 265 nucleotides long. RefSeq lists it as uncharacterized. The transcript is spliced from 3 exons. The record is from RefSeq and is a predicted model, not a curated record. NCBI's taxonomy places the organism in Eukaryota, Metazoa, Arthropoda, Insecta, Siphonaptera, Pulicidae.
AGGGCGUUCUUGGAGGCCAUGAUACAAAAAUCAAUUAAGGACAAAGUGUGAUCACUAAAUGUUAUCAAUCUAUGAAAUAGUUUCAAACCUGCACAUAAUUUUACCUACUUCAGCAAUUAAAUUCUACACUACUGAAUCAACUGCCCCAUUCGACCCAACCGACUCUAGUCAAUCAAACAGUAAGCUCCGAUCAAGUAUCUAUCAGGCUAUUCAAUUAUCCACUUCUGAAUCAACAGCCCUCAUCACCUUUAAUUCAUCAAACAGU